AGGGAAAGAGCUUGCUCUUUCCGGAAUUGAGUGGCAAACGGGUGAGUAACACGUAAACAACCUGCCUUCAGGAUGGGGACAACAGACGGAAACGACUGCUAAUACCGAAUAAGUUCCAAGAGCCGCAUGGCCCAUGGAAGAAAAGGUGGCCUCUACCUGUAAGCUAUCGCCUGAAGAGGGGUUUGCGUCUGAUUAGCUAGUUGGUGGGGUAACGGCCUACCAAGGCAACGAUCAGUAGCCGGACUGAGAGGUUAAACGGCCACAUUGGUACUGAGACACGGUCCAAACUCC
This 291-nucleotide ribosomal RNA is filed under the name uncultured Dialister sp. RNAcentral describes it as "partial 16S ribosomal RNA". It matches the Rfam family "Bacterial small subunit ribosomal RNA", at positions 69 to 339 of the family's 1533-position model. Lineage: Bacteria; Bacillati; Bacillota; Negativicutes; Veillonellales; Veillonellaceae. The record is from RNAcentral.